ACACACAUGCUUCUUUUUAAAUUAUGUCUGAGUGUUGGAGUGUGCCCCUGGCUGUAAAUUUAAAACAAUUUGAGCAAUUUAAAAUUAUUUAUACUUUUACUUUUGAUACUUAAGUAUAUUUUCACAAUUGCAUUUACUUUUGAUAGUUAAGUAUAUUUAAAAUCAAACACUUUUAGAGGCUUACUUGUAGUAUUUUACAGUAACUUUCACUUUCUUUUGAGUCAUUUUCUAUUUGGGUAUCUUUACUUUUACUCAAGUAUGAAAAUUGGGUACUUUUUCCACUACUGACAGUAUGAAACAUGAGUGACCAAGUGGUCCAGCUCUCCUCAGCCUCCCACCAUGAAGACAUUCUUCAGUCAAUUCACCAGCUGAGACUGCACAGCCACCUGUGUGAUGUCACAGACCAGGUGGCCUUCCAUGGUGGGCUGGAGGAAUUUGAGGCUCACCAGGUGGUACGAGCUGCCUCCAGCGGCUACUUCAAGAACAUCCUACUGGCCCCGGACCCACCUAAGAAACUAUUCCUGGGGAAUGUCUGAAACACUGAUUAUACCUGGUUCUUGGAAUAUAUAUACACUGGCAAACUGGAGGUGGAUGAAAAGUUUGCUGAAGACAAGAUUGGCGUGUGAAGUGGCGACACUGUUUGAGUGUAAAAGCCUUAUGAAAGCCUUUAAAGCCUUAUGGAGGCUUGCAGCUCGGUUCUCGAUGAAGGCAGCUCGAGUCCGCACGGGGAUAAAUCAUCCAUGUCACAAGGCAUGGAGGCUGAUUUGGAUCAUGUAGAGGAGGGGGUGCUGGGGGUCGGAGUAAACAAAAUUCCCAAAAGAGCCUCCACCAAGAGGCCGACCUAUCCAACAAGACCAGAGAGGACGUUGUAAAGGGCAACGGUCCCGGUCACAGCCGAGGAGGAGAGAUCAGAGGUCAAUGAAGAUGCUGAGAUCUCUGGGAGGAGAAGUAACAGGCUGGCAGGCCGCAGAGUCUUCGUUGACAUUCCUAAGAAGAAGUACGUGAGGAAGAUGAAGGACCAGACCAAGACGCAGACGGGAGGAUCUGCCUGACAACACUCAGACCAAGACAGCCGGUCAAGAGGAGAACACUGCGAAUACAUAGGUAGUUGCUAUGGUGACUGCUUUGAGGUGUGUGAAGCAUUUUGAAAAAGUGCUGUAUAAAUCCAAUUGAUUGUGGUGAUUAUUGUUAUUACACAGAAGGGAGGCAGGAGAGGCCCUUCCAGAGCUGCUGCCUGAAAAAGAGGGGGCGGUGCGGGGCUGAGGUCAACAGACGAUCGAUGAUGUGGAAGGAGAUAUACCCGAGGAUUGUCCUGAUGACUCACAUUUCUUCCCCAGGAAGGAAGCAAUGGGACGAGCCACGGUGUGCAGGGGGAGGUGACAUACCGUUAUGACACCUGCCAGCAGACUUUUGCCAACCUUUGAAACCCGAGGAUCCAUCAGAGACACGUCCACAGUGACGAGAGUGUAUCCCUGCGACGUCUGCACCAAGACUUUCAAAUGCAUGAAGGACGUGACGCGCCUCCGACGACAGGUGCAUGAGGGAGGCGGCGUGCGGCACACCGGUCUUGUGUGUAACAGGGCACUGAGCUCUAAGACAGCGUUGAGGUGGAGGGGAGAGUGGAGUUGGAGGUAGGCUCCAGGAGGGGGCCAUGUUGGUACAUGGUGAGCCUUUCACCCUUUCAGCCAACCCUUCCAUCACCCUGGUCAGCCACACCACCCUGGGUGGGUUCACGGUCAUCCAGACAGAGAUGCAGGCAGGGACCCACCUACGCAUUGUCACCACAGACGGGGCCGGUGUCAUCUCUCUGGAUGGAUCCACUGUCUCUGUCCCCUUCUCCGUGUCCUCUAUCCUCUAUAUAUCACUAGCCACUUUAAACAAUGCUACUUAAUGUUUACAUAC
Molecule: long non-coding RNA, 1902 nt
Organism: Oncorhynchus tshawytscha (Chinook salmon)
Lineage: Eukaryota; Metazoa; Chordata; Actinopteri; Salmoniformes; Salmonidae
Exons: 3
Source: RefSeq, a predicted model, not a curated record